This 280-nucleotide ribosomal RNA is filed under the name uncultured bacterium. RNAcentral describes it as "partial 16S ribosomal RNA". It matches the Rfam family "Bacterial small subunit ribosomal RNA", at positions 506 to 784 of the family's 1533-position model. The record is from RNAcentral.
UGCCAGCCGCCGCGGUAACACGUAGGGAGCAAGCGUUGUCCGGAUUUAUUGGGCGUAAAGAGCUCGUAGGCGGUUCAGUAAGUCAGGUGUGAAAAUCCAAGGCUCAACCUUGGAACGCCACUUGAUACUGCUGUGACUAGAGUCCGGUAGAGGAGUGUGGAAUUCCUGGUGUAGCGGUGAAAUGCGCAGAUAUCAGGAGGAACACCGACGGCGAAGGCAGCACUCUGGGCCGGUACUGACGCUGAGGAGCGAAAGCAUGGGGAGCGAACAGGAUUAGAUA